UGGAAGUAAAAGUCGUAACAAGGUCUCCGUUGGUGAACCAGCGGAGGGAUCAUUGCUGGAACGCGCCCCAGGCGCACCCAGAAACCCUUUGUGAACUUAUACCUUACUGUUGCCUCGGCGCAUGCUGGUCUCUAGCAGGCCCCUCACCCCGGUGAGGAGACGGCACGCCGGCGGCCAAGUUAACUCUUGUUUUUACACUGAAACUCUGAGAAAAAAAACACAAAUGAAUCAAAACUUUCAACAACGGAUCUCUUGGUUCUGGCAUCGAUGAAGAACGCAGCGAAAUGCGAUAAGUAAUGUGAAUUGCAGAAUUCAGUGAAUCAUCGAAUCUUUGAACGCACAUUGCGCCCUCUGGUAUUCCGGAGGGCAUGCCUGUUCGAGCGUCAUUUCAACCCUCAAGCACUGCUUGGUGUUGGGGCACUGCUUUUAACGAAGCAGGCCCUGAAAUCUAGUGGCGAGCUCGCCAGGACCCCGAGCGCAGUAGUUAAACCCUCGCUCUGGAAGGCCCUGGCGGUGCCCUGCCGUUAAACCCCCAACUUCUGAAAAUUGACCUCGGAUCAGGUAGAAACCCCCC
RNAcentral lists this ribosomal RNA (574 nucleotides) under Diaporthe sp. Y18. Its description in RNAcentral is "eukaryotic LSU rRNA". The stretch from base 233 to 386 matches the Rfam family "5.8S ribosomal RNA". Lineage: Eukaryota; Fungi; Ascomycota; Sordariomycetes; Diaporthales; Diaporthaceae. The record is from RNAcentral.